Molecule: ribosomal RNA, 1243 nt
Filed under: uncultured prokaryote
Description: partial 16S ribosomal RNA
Rfam family: Bacterial small subunit ribosomal RNA
Source: RNAcentral
UAACACAUGCAAGUCGAGCGGAAACGAGUUAUCUGAACCUUCGGGGAACGAUAACGGCGUCGAGCGGCGGACGGGUGAGUAACGCGUAGGAAUUUGCCUAGUAGUGGGGGAUAGCCCAGAGAAAUUUGGAUUAAUACCGCAUACACUCUACGGAGAAAAGAGAGGGACCUUCGGGCCUCUCGCGAUUGGAUAAGCCUAAGUGAGAUUAGCUAGUUGGUGAGGUAAGGGCUCACCAAGGCGACGAUCUCUAGCUGGUCUGAGAGGAUGAUCAGCCACACUGGAACUGAGACACGGUCCAGACUCCUACGGGAGGCAGCAGUGGGGAAUAUUGCACAAUGGGCGAAAGCCUGAUGCAGCCAUGCCGCGUGUAUGAAGAAGGCCUUCGGGUUGUAAAGUACUUUCAGCAGUGAGGAAGAUAGUAUGCUUAAUACGCUGUUGCCGUGACGUUACCAACAGAAGAAGCACCGGCUAACUCCGUGCCAGCAGCCGCGGUAAUACGGAGGGUGCGAGCGUUAAUCGGAAUUACUGGGCGUAAAGCGCAUGCAGGUGGUUUGUUAAGUCAGAUGUGAAAGCCCGGGGCUCAACUCCGGAAUUGCAUUAGAAACUGUUUAACUAGAGUACUGUAGAGGAAGGUAGAAUUUCAGGUGUAGCGGUGAAAUGUGUAGAGAUCUGAAGGAAUACCAGUGGCGAAGGCGGCCUUCUGGACAGAUACUGACACUCAGAUGCGAAAGCGUGGGUAGCAAACAGGAUUAGAUACCCUGGUAGUCCACGCUGUAAACGAUGUCUACUUGGAGGUUGUGGCCUUGAGCCGUGGCUUUCGGAGCUAACGCGUUAAGUAGACCGCCUGGGGAGUACGGUCGCAAGAUUAAAACUCAAAUGAAUUGACGGGGGCCCGCACAAGCGGUGGAGCAUGUGGUUUAAUUCGAUGCAACGCGAAGAACCUUACCUACUCUUGACAUCCUCAGAACUUUCCAGAGAUGGAUUGGUGCCUUCGGGAACUGAGUGACAGGUGCUGCAUGGCUGUCGUCAGCUCGUGUUGUGAAAUGUUGGGUUAAGUCCCGCAACGAGCGCAACCCCUAUCCUUGAUUGCCAGCGAGUAAUGUCGGGAACUUUGAGGAACUGCCGGUGAUAACCGGAGAAGGUGGGGACGACGUCAAGUCCUCAUGCCUUACAGAUAGGCUACUACUGCUACAAUGGGCGCAUACAAGGGCGCCACUUGCGAGAGUAGCGAAUCCAAAAGUGU